This 89-nucleotide transfer RNA is filed under the name Colletotrichum chlorophyti. It matches the Rfam family "tRNA". From Rfam's summary of the family: Transfer RNA (tRNA) molecules are approximately 80 nucleotides in length. Lineage: Eukaryota; Fungi; Ascomycota; Sordariomycetes; Glomerellales; Glomerellaceae. The record is from Rfam by way of RNAcentral.
GGCCGGUUGGCCCAAUGGCAAGGCGUCUGACUACGAUUCUUUAAGAUCGUGUCAUCAGGAGAUUCUGGGUUCGACCCCCAGGCUGGUCA